GACGAACGCUGGCGGCGUGCCUAAUACAUGCAAGUAGAACGCUGAAGAGAGGAGCUUGCUCUUCUUGGAUGAGUUGCGAACGGGUGAGUAACGCGUAGGUAACCUGCCUUGUAGCGGGGGAUAACUAUUGGAAACGAUAGCUAAUACCGCAUAACAAUGGAUGACACAUGUCAUUUAUUUGAAAGGGGCAAUUGCUCCACUACAAGAUGGACCUGCGUUGUAUUAGCUAGUAGGUGAGGUAAUGGCUCACCUAGGCGACGAUACAUAGCCGACCUGAGAGGGUGGUCGGCCACACUGGGACUGAGACACGGCCCAGACUCCUACGGGAGGCAGCAGUAGGGAAUCUUCGGCAAUGGGGGCAACCCUGACCGAGCAACGCCGCGGGAGUGAAGAAGGUUGUCGGAUCGUAAAGCUCUGUUGUAAGUCAAGAACGGGUGUGAGAGUGGAAAGUUCACACUGUGACGGUAGCUUACCAGAAAGGGACGGCUAACUACGUG
RNAcentral lists this ribosomal RNA (497 nucleotides) under uncultured bacterium. Its description in RNAcentral is "partial 16S ribosomal RNA". It matches the Rfam family "Bacterial small subunit ribosomal RNA", at positions 28 to 507 of the family's 1533-position model. The record is from RNAcentral.